Molecule: long non-coding RNA, 437 nt
Organism: Gallus gallus (chicken)
Lineage: Eukaryota; Metazoa; Chordata; Aves; Galliformes; Phasianidae
Source: Ensembl
CUCAAGAGAGGUUUCUACAAUAAUUAAACUGUAGCAGGACACUCAAUUGGAACUUUUAAUGGUCACCCCUGCCAACUAACGAGGGAGAAAAGAAAGCAGAAGAUAUAACUUCCAAAAGCAAUGCAAGCAGAAAAACACGUUCUUUAAAAUGAAGAGAUGACCUGGGAAAAGAUAAAAGGAACACUGAUUAUUUAAGUAUUGAAAAGGUUGCUGAAAUCUCCCAUAGCAGGCUUCUUCAACAGUAGCUAAAAUCAGCCAUAUUUUCAUGUUCUUGAUUCUGGAGAAGCAGUAGAAGCACUGACAUAAUGGAAGCUGCUGGCAUCAAGACCAUCUCAGUGAAAACUUCGGACAGUACACCUGACUUCAGCAUUUCUUCAUGUUUUGAUUUCAAGAAGCAUUCUAAGAAAGCUAAUGCUUGCUAGCUCAUCAGAAGCCAG